CCUGAUAGCGUAUUCAUUAUCAUGAGAUUGAUAAAUUUUCUUAUUGUUGACGCUUAAUUGUAUUUAUCACUUAAUUUAGUAUGAGUAGAUCAACAUUCUGAAUGUGACUUGAGACUUAAUUUAGUAUUCAAAGACUUCUUUGAAUACUAAAUUAAGCGUCAAGAAUCGAAAGCUUUCGAGUUCUUAAUUGUAAGCUUUGGAUUGCAUCAUCUACUCAGUCUGAUUGCCUCACAGAAGACGAUCUGGAAUGUUGAUCGACUCAGGAACGCGCCAAGCUUUCGAGUGCUUUUGAUCGUCGAUCUGUUUCUUCCAUGUAUAAGUGGAUCAUUUCGUGCAUAGUUUCUGUUUAGAUAUAUACUUGCGUUUUAGAUUAGUCUUUUAAUUGAAAAAUUAGUUGAAUGUAAAUCAUAUAUUUAUGGUAGAUUGGUAGUUAAAUGGUAAUUUCAUCUUUUUUGCUUGAUUCUAUAAUUUUUUUGAGAUUGAUUUCUGCUGUUGUAUGAUUGAUCUGCUACUUGCCCUAACUUGAUUAUCUUCAUACUCUUGUCUGAUUAUUCUUUGUAGUAAUUUGCUUAUUUGAUUGCUUGCUGAUAAUAACACUCAACAGAAUCAACGUUUUUGUUUCUUAGUUACCUGGCAUUAUCCCCUGUCCCCUGAUGUAUAGGUUCAGAACUUGAUCAAGAGAUUCAAUCUCCAUGAGAGUCUCUGUGCUUUUCUUUUGGUUUGAGAAGAGGAAGCCUUCUGCAAGUAGACGUGGUUCGGUUUUAACUUAAGUAUCAGUUGUAAUUAAUAAUUAUAUGAGUGAUGUUCAAGUUAAAAUUGAACUUGUAGUUUUCCUGUCUCAAUG
Molecule: long non-coding RNA, 844 nt
Organism: Tripterygium wilfordii
Lineage: Eukaryota; Viridiplantae; Streptophyta; Magnoliopsida; Celastrales; Celastraceae
Exons: 3
Source: RefSeq, a predicted model, not a curated record